RNAcentral lists this ribosomal RNA (253 nucleotides) under Oligoflexales bacterium. RNAcentral describes it as "partial 16S ribosomal RNA". It matches the Rfam family "Bacterial small subunit ribosomal RNA", at positions 524 to 776 of the family's 1533-position model. RNAcentral also lists the same sequence under 1 other name. The record is from RNAcentral. Lineage: Bacteria; Pseudomonadati; Bdellovibrionota; Oligoflexia; Oligoflexales.
UACAGAGGUCUCAAGCGUUGUUCGGAAUCACUGGGCGUAAAGGGUGCGUAGGCCGCACGGUAAGUCAGGUGUGAAAGCCCGGAGCUCAACUCCGGAAUUGCACCCGAUACUGCCGUGCUUGAGGACUGGAGAGGAGUCUGGAAUUCACAGUGGAGCAGUGAAAUGCGUAGAUAUUGUGAGGAACACUAGUGGCGAAGGCGAGACUCUGGACAGUUCCUGACGCUGAGGCACGAAGGCCAGGGGAGCAAACGGG